Phyllostomus discolor (pale spear-nosed bat) is the source of this 105-nucleotide long non-coding RNA. RefSeq lists it as uncharacterized. NCBI's taxonomy places the organism in Eukaryota, Metazoa, Chordata, Mammalia, Chiroptera, Phyllostomidae. The transcript has 3 exons. The record is from RefSeq and is a predicted model, not a curated record.
UAUUAUUUUGUUGUUGUUCUGUCAGCCUUUUUGGUCUAUUUCUGCAGGGCUUGGUAUAAUUUAGUAGUGCCAGGAGUUAUUUUCUUCCAUUAUGCCCUUUCUUUG